CAUGCAAGUCGAACGAGAAUCUCUAGCUUGCUAGAGAGGAAAGUGGCGGACGGGUGAGUAAAAUGUAGAGAAUCUGCCCUAGAGAGUGGGACAACAGAGGGAAACUUCUGCUAAUACCGCAUAUGAGCGUAGCUGAAAUGCUAUUCUUGAAAACUCCGGUGCUCUAGGAUGAGUCUGCAUCUGAUUAGCUAGUUGGCGGUGUAAUGGACCACCAAGGCGACGAUCAGUAGCUGGUUUGAGAGGAUGAUCAGCCACAAUGGGACUGAGACACGGCCCAUACUCCUACGGGAGGCAGCAGUAGGGAAUUUUGCGCAAUGGGCGAAAGCCUGACGCAGCAACGCCGCGUGACCGAUGAAGCCCUUCGGGGUGUAAAGGUCUGUCAGUGGGGACGAAACUUGACGGUACCCACAGAGGAAGCAUCGGCUAACUCCGUGCCAGCCGCGGC
RNAcentral lists this ribosomal RNA (445 nucleotides) under uncultured bacterium. RNAcentral describes it as "bacterial SSU rRNA". It matches the Rfam family "Bacterial small subunit ribosomal RNA", at positions 54 to 518 of the family's 1533-position model. The record is from RNAcentral.